GCUGGGCGUGGUGGUACACACCUAUAAUCCCAGCAGCUUGGGAGGCUGAGACAGGAGAAUCAGAGUUCAAAGCCAGCCUCAGCAACAGCGAGGCACUAAGCAACUCAGUGAGACCCUGUCUCUA
Molecule: small RNA, 124 nt
Filed under: Marmota monax (woodchuck)
Lineage: Eukaryota; Metazoa; Chordata; Mammalia; Rodentia; Sciuridae
Source: RNAcentral